AGUUAAACAGUACGUGAAAUUGUUGAAAGGGAAACGAUUGAAGCCAGUCGUACCUAUGGGUAAUCAGCCUUUUGGGUGUGAUUUUGUGGAGCGUGAGGAGUUAAACGCCUUCAUGCCUGCAUAUUCGUGCACUUUGGGUGUACUUGCCCGUGUGUAAGUUAACAUCAAUUUUGGUGGUCAUAAAAUGGCUGGAGGAAUGUAGCUUCGAUCUUGUAUUGAAGUGUUAUAGCCUUCGGUAGAUGUGACGAUCGGGAUUGAGGAUUGCAACGGAUACCCUUCGGGGCUACCUGUCUGAUCUCUGAUUGUUGCUCUGGUACCGAAAGCGUGCUUACGGUUAUCAAAGUCGAUGGUCAAUAGGUUAGAACGGGUUAAAUUCGUUAAGGAUGUUGACGUAAUGGCUUUAAA
RNAcentral lists this unclassified non-coding RNA (405 nucleotides) under uncultured Rhizophagus. Its description in RNAcentral is "sequence contains 28S rRNA gene". The record is from RNAcentral. Lineage: Eukaryota; Fungi; Glomeromycota; Glomeromycetes; Glomerales; Glomeraceae.